Molecule: non-coding RNA, 798 nt
Organism: Danio rerio (zebrafish)
Lineage: Eukaryota; Metazoa; Chordata; Actinopteri; Cypriniformes; Danionidae
Source: Ensembl
AAUUCAGACACCGAGGAUAACUAAGGUUUCACAUCUUGCCCUUGGUGAAAGUUUCUUACUACUGAAAGGUAGGUUGAGGGCACUCUGACAACUUCGGUUUUACAAGUAGAAGGAGAUUUCCUGCUGGCGAUCUGCAAGACUGAUGCUCUGUAAUUGGGCACAGAUGAUGCUCAGCCCACUCAGUGAUUUGAACACGAAGCACCCGGCAGAGGCAGACAGAAUCCUGGAUCUUCCUCAUUAAGGUCUGAGGAGGAUUGUCAGGAACAGACAUGUCGAAGCCCCCCUAAAAUGACACACAACCCAAACAGCAGCUGAAAUGCUGCAACAACACCAGGAGCAAAUGUGUCGUGUCAGUGUGUCACAUCUGGUUUGUGAGCGCAGACAUUGUAGCCAGAGGCUUUUUCUUUCAGUAAACUGAUGUUCUUACAGACGUACUUAUGAAAUACAUUUGCAGCUGGCACUAUGGUGUGCCAGCUCAGGUGCUUGGAAACCCUAAAAACAGAGACACACCAUCGGGAGCACCGGGUACAGAAACUUGAUAUACUUCAUAAACAUUAUGUAACUACAAGACACUUUGUGUAAACGUGUUUAAGAAAUAUUUAUCUUCCCUGCAUUUGGUGGGCUUGUGUAAUGACAACAGUCUUAGCAUAUAUGGUUUGGAUUGGUUUGUCUGGCAAAACUAAACUAAAGAGAUUUGUAAAUCUAGUUCAGGAAGCCAAGAUUGCAGUGAUGAGCUGCAGAUCCUCAUACAAUGGCAUUCAGUGCACCAAUAUUCUUCACUUGGGUUUAUGCGCAAAU